AUGGGGGACCCAAGCGCAGGAGAAGGAACAAGAGAGGCCACAAGCACAGGAAGUGUCACAAGAAGGGGAAGGACUGUCAUGGGAUUUGACAGCGAGUCAUCCAGCAGCUCCUGCAGCAGCAGCAGCGACUCAGACUAGAUGAAGCCCGGUUGAAGGGAGCAGAACCAGAACACCUGGACGCCUUCCUUCAUCUGCUGACCUUUUUCUUCAUUUUGUCCUAAAAGCCCAUAACAUGUUCUUGGUCCAAAAUCUGUAAAACAUUCAUUUUAUCUGAUUGUGUAUGACCUUGGAUUAAACGAGAGAUUCAAAAUUGUGUUUCUUCUUUGACUCCCUAAAUAUCCGAGCAAAAGAAGUUAAUUUUUUUUAAAUUUUAUUGGGUGAAUUGACGUGAUAAGUUGUGGGUGUGGUUCUUACUUCGACCACUAGAUGGACAUAAAGAGGCGCGUGUUUUAAAGAGUGUUGACCAGAAUCCAUCAGCGAUCAGACAUAAAUCGGAAUAAAUCUGAUCAGAUUAUGUGAUUCUGCCUGGAUGAAAUGUUGGCUGACAGGUUUGUCCA
Molecule: long non-coding RNA, 557 nt
Filed under: Takifugu rubripes (torafugu)
Lineage: Eukaryota; Metazoa; Chordata; Actinopteri; Tetraodontiformes; Tetraodontidae
Description: lncRNA (ENSTRUG00000030329.1)
Source: RNAcentral